RNAcentral lists this long non-coding RNA (1087 nucleotides) under Homo sapiens (human). Its description in RNAcentral is "HSALNT0119885". The record is from RNAcentral. Lineage: Eukaryota; Metazoa; Chordata; Mammalia; Primates; Hominidae.
AUGAAUUUUAGUUUUGCAAUACCUGGAUUCCGGGCAUCAUUGCCGUUGCUUGGUGUUGUUGCUUUCACCACCUUGCCCGCAAGUUUGUGAGACACGUCACUACUUACUGGGAUCCCUCUGUGAAAAGAAGAUUCCAUGUCUGAUCUGCAUUUUGUGGAAGGAACCUGUAGGAAGAAGUUCCCCCUGGAUCCAAGCUGAUCCUGAAGGAAAAGAGAGUGUGGCAGAGGGAGGUUGCCUCACUCCCCUCUCUAUGGUGCUAUCCUGGGUUUCAGUGCUCCACAGAGUUUUUGCCAUUCCGCUGGUGCUCUUUACUUCUUCAGUCACUCUUAGUCGAAAUAUAGGUCCCUUUUUGUGGGAGGGACAAGCACUAGGUAAUCUAGUUGGCCAUCUUCCUGACCACACACUCAAGAUUAUUGACUGUCCCAUCACUUGUGGCUGGGUGCAGUGGCUCACAGCCACUUUGGGAGGCUGAGGAGGGCAGAUCACGAGGUCAGGAGACGGAGACCACCCUGGCUAACAUGGUGAAACCCCGUCUUUACUAAAAAUACAAAAAAAUUAGCUGGGCAUGGUGGCGGGCACCUGGAGUCCCAGCUGCUCAGGAGGCUGAGGCAGGAGAAUGGCGUGAACCCGGGAUGCGGAGCUUGCGGUGAGCCAAGAUCGCACCACUGCACUCCAGCCUGGGUGACAGAGCGAGACUGCAUCUCAAAAAAAAAAACAAAAAACGAAACAAAACAAAAGACUCACUUGUGAUCUCCUUGUGUAGCUACCUUCACACCCUCCCUCCUGAAACGCUAAUCCCGGUAACCACUCACCUGUACUCCCUCACUAUAAUUAUGUUAUUUCAUGAGUGUUAUAUAAAUGUAAUCAUACACUUUGUAUCCUUUUGAGAUGGGCUUUUUUCACUCAUAAUUUUCUUGACUUUUCUUUCAAAUUGCUGCAUGUUGUCAGUAGUUUGUUCCUUUUUAUUGUUGAAUUGUUUUACAUGGUAUGUAUGUACCACAGUGUACUUAAUCAAACUCAUGCAUUGAAAGACAUUGAACAGUUUCCAUGUUUUGGAUAUUAUGAAUAAAGCUCCUGUGAAGGUUCA